ACGUAGGAGGCGAGCGUUAUCCGGAUUUACUGGGCUUAAAGGGUGUGCAGGCGGGUGAUUAAGUCGUGCAUGAAAGCCGUGUGCUUAACACACGGAGGCUGUGCGAGACUGGUCGUCUAGAGGCUGUGAGAGGGACGCGGAAUUCCGGGUGUAGUGGUGAAAUGCGUAGAGAUCCGGAGGAACACCAGAGGCGAGGGCGGCGUCCUAGUGCAGACCUGACGCUGAGACACGACAGCAUGGGGAGCGAACGGGAUUAGAAACCCCGGUAGUCCAUGCCGUAAACGAUGGAUGCUAGGCGUGGGGCGGUUAAGUCCGCUCCGCGUCGGAGGGAAACUGGUAAGCAUCCCGCCUGGGGAGUACGGUCGCAAGGCUA
This 373-nucleotide ribosomal RNA is filed under the name uncultured bacterium. Its description in RNAcentral is "bacterial SSU rRNA". It matches the Rfam family "Bacterial small subunit ribosomal RNA", at positions 525 to 896 of the family's 1533-position model. The record is from RNAcentral.